Ailuropoda melanoleuca (giant panda) is the source of this 1557-nucleotide long non-coding RNA. RefSeq lists it as uncharacterized. NCBI's taxonomy places the organism in Eukaryota, Metazoa, Chordata, Mammalia, Carnivora, Ursidae. The record is from RefSeq and is a predicted model, not a curated record. The transcript is spliced from 3 exons.
CACCAUAUAAGCAUCUGAUCCCAGUCAUUAAUUCUUUGUUUUGUGUUUUGGGGUAAUUUUUGAGCUCUAUGCUUUUCAUCUUUUCACUACGGACCAAUACUAUUAGUUUGAUUGUUCGGUUUUUCAAAUAUCCAGUUCCUUUCCUUUUACACCUGGCUUUGGACUAUUUCAAAGGUUAAAUGAGGUGUUUUCCGUGAUUGGAAAAAUACACAGCAGAGGUUGGGGAUGCUGUAAGCUUAAGAAUGCAAGGAGAUGACACUUCAGGUAAUAACACCAUUCAUCCAAACACCUGGUAAGUGCUGGCGGGAUAUCUAUAAAUAUUAAUAGGUUAUCUUUACAUUAUUUGUCUGUUUUAAUUAUUUGUCUUUUUCUUGAGUCUUCAUGAAUAAUGGUACUGACUGUGAGCCUGACCCUUUUAGAAAAAUGCUACACUACUGUAAUUAUACUUUAGGGAUACAAUAUUAUUUGAAAAGUCACCUCAAUACUAUUCAGACAUAUUAUAUUAUGUCUGGGAGUAAGAUCUUUGACAAAUGCAAACUUUCUUGACAUUACUCAUUACUUUUAGUGCAGGAUAGGUUGGCUGUGGGCAUAUUUUUAGCUCCAGUAGAUAAAUUAAAUCCGAUUGUGUUUUUUAUGUUUUUGGAUUUCCAGACCUUCAGUAUUUUCUGAAAUCCAAAGUCUGCUUAUGUGAUAGCUUGAAAUGAUGUCUACAAAUUCUUUGGUAUUGUUUCCUUAAGAGGUUGAGUCUAAUUCCUCUCCCCUUGAGUGUGGGCUCUACUUAUGACUCACUUCUAACAAAUAGAAUGUGACUAAAGUGAUGGUAUGUGACUUCCAAGACUAGGAGCUAGAAGUGUGGCCUCUCCUUGCUCUUUCGUUGAUUGCUCAUUCUCAGGGAAGCCAGCUGCCAUGUUAUGAGAACACUCAAUUAGCCCUACGGGGAGGCCCAGCUGGCAAGGCACAGAGGCCUCCUGCCGACAGCCGUGUGAGCACACCGUCUUGGAAGCAGAUCCAUUGGCCUCAGUCAAGCCUUCAGAUAACCACAGCCUUGCUGAUGUCCUAACUACAAAAUCUCAAGAGACCCUGAGUCAGAAUCACCCAGGGAGCGACGCCAAGUUCAUCGUGAGAAUGUGAAGACAUUUUGAAACGCGCAGCACCUCACCCAUGCCCGGCUACAGAAUAUGCUCUUCAAAUUGGGGUCCGCAGACCGGCGGCAGCAGCGUCCCCCGGGAGCUCGGAAGACCUGCGGUGUCUGGCCGCACCCCAGGCCUGUGGCAGCAGAAUCUGCCGCGUCACGACACCCUCAGCUGAGGAAACUAAGCCCUCACGACAAGGUGUGUAACUGGUGGAACCAGCGGAAACCCAGGUCACUUGAUUCCGAAGCAUGACCUUUACCCACGGGUGCUAUUCAUAGCUGUAACAACUGAGCAGCGCAAAGUAGGAGCAAUCCGAACAGAUGGCCCUUGAGCUGAGCCAUCCUGCGGACCCUUGCUGGGCCAUGCCGGGCAUGCUAGCGGGAGGCUAGCGCGGUGACUGGGGACGGAGGGGACCCCACGGUUG